This 264-nucleotide ribosomal RNA is filed under the name uncultured bacterium. RNAcentral's name for it is "partial 16S ribosomal RNA". It matches the Rfam family "Bacterial small subunit ribosomal RNA", at positions 28 to 305 of the family's 1533-position model. The record is from RNAcentral.
AGCGAACGCUGGCGGCAUGCUUAACACAUGCAAGUCGCACGACCGGGUUUCGGCCUGGGAGUGGCGGACGGGUGAGUAUCGCGUAGGGAUUUGUCGUUGGGGUGGGGGACGAACCUUGGGAAACGUGGGGCGUAAUACCGCAUGACGCCUGUGGGCCGAAAGCUCGAGAGGGCGGCCCUGACGAGGAGCCUGCGUCCGAUUAGGUAGUUGGUUGGGUGAUGGCUGACCAAGCCUGCGAUCGGUAGCUGGUCUGAGAGGAUGGCC